Molecule: long non-coding RNA, 9290 nt
Filed under: Triticum aestivum (bread wheat)
Lineage: Eukaryota; Viridiplantae; Streptophyta; Magnoliopsida; Poales; Poaceae
Description: long non-coding RNA (TAES_LNC005804)
Source: RNAcentral
GCGGAUGAGGAUGGCCCCGGUUGAGGUAGUCAACAAGGGUGGCGGUGGUCAACAAAUUGUACCUUGUCCACCCCUACUAGUGGCUCCCACCUACCACCAAAUCCCCAUUUUCCAUCAUGGAAAUGAGGAAGAACAUGAGGUGAACUGGUUGAGAUGAAAAGGGGACUGGGAAGAGCGUGAGCAAGAGGAAGAGAUACACUCAAGUUUUUUAGAACACCCUCAAGCUUUAUUGCAUAAUGUCACUAGGGAUACAAGCUAUAAGGGGGGUGACAUAAGCCACAAUUUCUACCCACACCUACAAGCUUUAUUGCAUUAUGUUUCUUGGAAAUUCAUGUUGCAUGUAUAGCAAAAAGAACAUCAUAGAAGUAUAACAUCUCAUCUUUUCUAUAAUCAUGUUACAUAUAGAUGAGCUACCUACUGAAGGAAAUAUGCCCUAGAGGCAAUAAUAAAGUUAUUAUUUAUUUCCUUAUAUCAUGAUAAAUGCUUAUUAUUCAUGCUAGAAUUGUAUUAACCGGAAACAUAAUACAUGUGUGAAUACAUAGACAAACAGAGUGUCACUAGUAUGCCUCUACUUGACUAGCUCGUUAACCAAAGAUGGUUAUGUUUCCUAACCAUGGACAAAGAGUUGUUAUUUGAUUAACGGGAUUACAUCAUUAGGUGAAUGAUCUGAUUGACAUGACCCAUUCCAUUAGCUUAGCACCCGAUUGUUUAGUAUGUUGCUAUUGCUUUCUUCAUAACUUAUACAUGUUCCUAUGACUAUGAGAUUAUGCAACUCCCGUUUGCCGGAGGAACACUUUAUGUGCUACCAAACAUCACAACGUAACUGGGUGAUUAUAAAGGUGCUCUACAGGUGUCUCCAAAGGUACAUGUUGGGUUGGCGUAUUUCGAGAUUAGGAUUUGUCACUCCGAUUGUCGGAGAGGUAUCUCUGGGCCCUCUCGGUAAUGCACAUCACAUAAGCGUUGCAAGCAUUGCAACUAAUGAGUUAGUUGUGAGAUGAUGUAUUACGGAACGAGUAAAGAGACUUGCCGGUAACGAGAUUGAACUAGGUAUUGAGAUACCGACGAUCGAAUCUCGGGCAAGUAACAUACCAAUGACAAAGGGAACAACGUAUGUUGUUAUGCGGUCUGACCGAUAAAGAUCUUCGUAGAAUAUGUAGGAACCAAUAUGAGCAUCCAGGUUCCGCUAUUGGUUAUUGACCGGAGACGUGUCUCGGUCAUGUCUACAUUGUUCUCGAACCGUAGGGUCCGCACGCUUAACGUUACGAUUACAGUUUCAUUAUGAGUUUAUGUAUUUUGAUGUACCGAAGGUUGUUUGGAGUCCCGAAUGUGAUCAUGGACAUGACGAGGAGUCUCGAAAUGGUCGAGACAUAAAGAUCGAUAUAUUGGAAGCCUAUAUUUGGAUAUCGGAAUCGUUCCAGGUGAAAUCGGGAUUUUACCAGAGUACCGGGGGGUUACCGGAACCCCCCGGGGGUUAUUGGGCCUACAUGGGCCCUAAGGGAGAAGAGGAAAGGAGGCAAGAGGUGGCCGCGUGCCCCUCCCCUCCCUAGUCCGAAUAGGACAAGGAGAGGGGGGCGGCGCCCCCCCCUUUCCUUUCCCUCUUCCUCCUCUUUCCACUUCUCCUUCUCCAACUAGGAAAGAAGGGAGUCCUACUCCCGGUGGGAGUAGGACUCCCCCUUGGCGCGCCCUCCUUGGCCGGCCGCCCCCUCCCCUUGGCUCCUUUAUAUACGGGGGCAAGGGGGCACCCUAGAACACACAAGUUGAUCUUCGUGAUCGUUCCUUAGCCGUGUGCGGCGCCCCCCUCCACCAUAUUCCACCUCGGUCAUAUUGUAGCGGUGCUUAGGCGAAGCCCUGCGACAAAUGAACAUCAAGAUCGUCACCACGCCGUCGUGCUGACGGAACUCCUCCCCGAAGCUUUGAUGGAUCGGAGCCCGGGGAGCGUCAUCGAGCUGAACGUGUGCCAAGAACUCGGAGGUGCCAGAGUAACGGUGCUUGGAUCGAUUGGACCGGGAAGACGUACGACUACUUCCUCUAUGUUGCGUCAACGCUUCCGCUUCGGUCUAUGAGGGUACGUAGACAACACUCUCCCCUCUCGUUGCUAUGCAUCACCAUGAUCUUGCGUGUGCGUAGGAAAUUUUUUGAAAUUACUACGUUCCCCAACAGUGGCAUCAGAGCCUAGGUUUUAUGGUUUGAUGUUAUAUGCACGAGUAGAACACAAGUGAGUUGUGGGCGAUAUAAGUCAUACUGCUUACCAGCAUGUCAUACUUUGGUUCGGCGGUAUUGUUGGAUGAAGCGGCCUGGACCGACAUUACGCGUACGCUUACGCGAGACUGGUUCUACCGCCGUGCUUUGCACACAGGUGGCUGGCGGGUGUCAGUUUCUCCAACUUUAGUUGAACCGAGUGUGGCUACGCCCGGUCCUUGCGAAGGUUAAAACAACACCAACUUGACAAACUAUCGUUGUGGUUUUGAUGCGUAGGUAAGAUUGGUUCUUGCUUAAGCCCGUGGCAGCCACGUAAAACUUGCAACAAACAAAGUAGAGGACGUCUAACUUGUUUUUGCAGGGCAUGUUGUGAUGUGAUAUGGUCAAGGCAUGAUGCUAAAUUUUAUUGUAUGAUAUGAUCAUGUUUUGUAACUAAGUUAUCGACAACUGGCAGGAGCCAUAUGGUUGUCGCUUUAUUGUAUGCAAUGCAAUCGCCCUGUAAUGCUUUACUUUAUCACUAAGUGAUAGCGAUAGUCGUAGAAGCACAAUAUUGGCGAGAUGACAACGAUGCUACGAUGGAGAUCAAGGUGUCGCGUCGGUGACGAUGGUGAUCAUGACGGUGCUUCGGAGAUGGAGAUCACAAGCACAAGAUGAUGAUGGCCAUAUCAUAUCACUUAUAUUGAUUGCAUGCGAUGUUUAUCUUUUAUGCAUCUUAUCUUGCUUUGAUUGACGGUAGCAUUAUAAGAUGAUCUCUCACUAAAUUUCAAGAUAAAAAGUGUUCUCCCUGAGUAUGCACCGUUGCCAAAGUUCGUCGUGCCCAGACGCCACGUGAUGAUCGGGUGUGAUAAGCUCUACGUCCAUCUACAACGGGUGCAAGCCAGUUUUGCACACGCAGAAUACUCAGGUUAAACUUGACGAGCCUAGCAUAUACAGAUAUGGCCUCGAAACACUGAGAUCGAAAGGUCGAGCGUGAAUCAUAUAGUAGAUAUCAUCAACAUAGCAAUGUUCACCAUUGAAAACUACAUUUCACGUGAUGAUCGGUUAUGGUUUAGUUGAUUUGGAUCACGUGAUCACUUAGAUGAUUAGAGGGAUGUCUAUCUAAGUGGGAGUUCUUAAGUAAUAUGAUUAAUUGAACUUAAAUUUAUCAUGAACUUAGUCCCUGAUAGUAUCUUGCUUGUUUAUGUUGAUUGUAGAUAGAUGGCCCGUGUCGUUGUUCCGUUGAAUUUUAAUGUGUUCCUUGAGAAAGCAAAGUUGAAAGAUGAUGGUAGCAAUUACACGGACUGGGUCCGUAACUUGAGGAUUAUCCUCAUUGCUGCACAGAAGAGUUACGUCCUGGAAGCACCGCUGGGUGCGAGGCCUGCUGCUGAUGCAACUGACGACGUUAAGAACGUUUGGCAGAGCAAAGCUGAUGACUACUCGAUAGUUCAAUGUGCCAUGCUUUACGGCUUAGAACCGGGACUUCAACGAUGUUUUGAACGUCAUGGGGCAUAUGAGAUGUUCUAGGAGUGGAAGUUAAUAUUCCAGCAGAAUGCCUGGAUUGAGAGAUAUGAAGUCUCCAAUAAAUUCUAUAGCUGCAAGAUGGAGGAGAAUAGUUCUGUCAGUGAGCAUAUACUCAAGAUGUCCGGGUAUUGUAAUCACUUGAUUCAACUGGGAGUUAAUCUUCCGGAUGAUAGCGUCAUUGACAGAAUUCUCCAAUCACUUCCACCAAGCUACAAGAGCUUCGUGAUGAACUAUAAUAUGCAAGGGAUGGAUAAGACAAUUCCCGAGCUCUUCGCAAUGCUAAAGGCCGUGGAGGUAGAAAUCAAGAAGGAGCAUCAAGUGUUGAUGGUCAACAAGACCACUAGUUUCAAGAAAAAGGGCAAAGGGAAGAAGAAGGGGAACUUCAAGAAGAACAACAAGCAAGUUGCUGCUCAGGAGAAGAAACCCAAGUCUGGAUCUAAGCCUGAAACUGAGUGCUUCUACUGCAAGCAGACUGGUCACUGGAAGCGGAACUGCCCCAAGUAUUUGGCGGAUAAGAAGGAUGGCAAGGUGAACAAAGGUAUAUGUGAUAUACAUGUUAUUGGUGUGUACCUUACUAGAGCUCGCAGUAGCACCUGGGUAUUUGAUACUGGUUCUGUUGCUAAUAUUUGCAACUCAAAACAGGGACUACGGAUUAAGCGAACACUGGCAAAGGACGAGGUGACGAUGCGCGUGGGAAAUGGUUCCAAAGUCGAUGUGAUCGCGGUCGGCACGCUACCUCUACAUCUACCUUCGGGAUUAGUAUUAGACCUAAAUAAUUAUUAUUUGGUGCCAGCGUUGAGCAUGAACAUUAUAUCUGGAUCUUGUUUGAUGCGAGACAGUUAUUCAUUUAAAUCAGAGAAUAAUGGUUGUUCUAUUUAUAUGAGUAAUAUCUUUUAUGGUCAUGCACCCUUGAAGAGUGGUCUAUUUUUGAUGAAUCUCGAUAGUAGUGAUACACAUAUUCAUAAUGUUGAAGCCAAAAGAUGCAGAGUUAAUAAUGAUAGUGCAACUUAUUUGUGGCACUGCCGUUUAGGUCAUAUUGGUGUAAAGCGCAUGAAGAAACUCCAUACUGAUGGACUUUUGGAACCACUUGAUUAUGAAUCACUUGGUACUUGCGAACCGUACCUCAUGGGCAAGAUGACUAAAACGCCGUUCUCCGUACUAUGGAGAGAGCAACAGAUUUGUUGGAAAUCAUACAUACAGAUGUAUGUGGUCCGAUGAAUGUUGAGGCUCGUGGCGGAUAUCGUUAUUUUCUCACCUUCACAGAUGAUUUAAGCAGAUAUGGGUAUAUCUACUUAAUGAAGCAUAAGUCUGAAACAUUUGAAAAGUUCAAAGAAUUUCAGAGUGAAGUUGAAAAUCAUCGUAACAAGAAAAUAAAGUUUCUACGAUCUGAUCGUGGAGGAGAAUAUUUGAGUUACGAGUUUGGUCUACAUUUGAAACAAUGCGGAAUAGUUUCGCAGCUCACGCCACCCGGAACACCACAACGUAAUGGUGUGUCCGAAUGUCGUAAUCGUACUUUACUUGAUAUGGUGCGAUCUAUGAUGUCUCUUACAGAUUUACCGCUAUCGUUUUGGGGUUAUGCUUUAGAGACGGCCGCAUUCACGUUAAAUAGGGCACCAUCAAAAUCCGUUGAGAUGACGCCUUAUGAACUAUGGUUUGGCAAGAAACCAAAGUUGUCGUUUCUUAAAGUUUGGGGCUGUGAUGCUUAUGUGAAAAAGCUUCAACCUGAUAAGCUCGAACCCAAAUCGGAGAAAUGUGUCUUCAUAGGAUACCCAAAGGAGACUGUUGGGUACACCUUCUAUCACAGAUCUGAAGGCAAGACAUUCAUUGCUAAAAAUGGAUCCUUUCUAGAGAAGGAGUUUCUCUCGAAAGAAGUGAGUGGGAGGAAAGUAGAACUUGAUGAGGUAACUGUACCUGCUCCCUUAUUGGAAAGUAGUACAACACAGAAACCGGUUUCUGUGACACCUAAACCAGUUAGUGAGGAAGUUAAUGAUGAUGAUCAUAGAACUUCAGAUCAAGUUGCUACUGAACCUCAUAGAUCAAACAGAGUAAGAUCCGCACCAGAGUGGUACGGUAAUCCUGUUCUAGAAGUCAUGCUACUAGAUCAUGAUGAACCUACGAACUAUGAAGAAGCGAUGGUGAGCCCAGAUUCCGCGAAAUGGCUUGAAGCCAUGAAAUCUGAGAUGGGAUCCAUGUAUGAGAACAAAGUGUGGACUUUCGUUGACUUGCCCGAUGAUUGGCAAGCAAUUGAGAAUAAAUGGAUCUUCAAGAAGAAGACUGACGCUGAUGGUAAUGUUACCGUCUACAAAGCUCAACUUGUUGCAAAAGGUUUUCGACAAGUUCAAGGGAUUGACUACGAUGAGACCUUCUACCCCGUAGCGAUGCUUAAGUCUGUCCGAAUCAUGUUAGCAAUUGCCGCAUUUUAUGAUUAUGAAAUUUGGCAAAUGGAUGUCAAAACUGCAUUCCUGAAUGGAUUUCUAGAAGAAGAGUUGUAUAUGAUGCAACCAGAAGGUUUUGUCGAUCCAAAGGGAGCUAACAAAGUGUGCAAGCUCCAGCGAUCCAUUUAUGGACUGGUGCAAGCCUCUCGGAGUUGGAAUAAACACUUUGAUAGUGUGAUCAAAGCAUUUGGUUUUAUACAGAUUUUUGGAGAAGCCUGUAUUUACAAGAAAGUGAGUGGGAGCUCUGUAGCAUUUCUGAUAUUAUAUGUGGAUGACAUAUUACUAAUUGGAAAUGAUAUAGAAUUUCUGGAUAGCAUAAAGGGAUACUUGAAUAAGAGUUUUUCAAUGAAAGGCCUCGGUGAAGCUGCUUACAUAUUAGGCAUUAAGAUCUAUAGAGAUAGAUCAAGACGCUUAAUUGGACUUUCACAAAGCACAUACCUUGACAAAGUUUUGAAGAAGUUCAAAAUGGAUCAAGCAAAGAAAGGGUUCUUGCCUGUGUUACAAGGUGUGAAGUUGAGUAAAACUCAAUGCCCGACCACUGCAGAAGAUAGAGAGAAAAUGAAAGAUGUUCCCUAUGCUUCAGCCAUAGGCUCUAUCAUGUAUGCAAUGUUGUGUACCAGACCUGAUGUGUGCCUUGCUAUAAGUCUAGCAGGGAGGUACCAAAGUAAUCCAGGAGUGGAUCACCGGACAGCGGUCAAGAACAUCCUGAAAUACCUGAAAAGGACUAAGGAUAUGUUUCUCGUUUAUGGAGGUGAUAAAGAGCUCAUCGUAAAUGGUUACGUUGAUGCAAGCUUUGACACUGAUCCGGACGAUUCUAAAUCGCAAAUCGGAUACGUGUUUACAUUAAACGGUGGAGCUGUCAGUUGGUGCAGUUCUAAACAAAGCGUCAUGGCGGAAUCUACGUGUGAAGCGAAAUACAUAGCUGCUUCGGAAGCAGCAAAUGAAGGAGUCUGGAUGAAGGAGUUCAUAUCUGAUCUAGGUGUCAUACCUAGUGCAUCGGGUCCAAUGAAAAUCUUUUGUGACAAUACUGGUGCAAUUGCCUUGGCAAAGGAAUCCAGAUUUCACAAGAGAACCAAGCACAUCAAGAGACGCUUCAAUUCCAUCCGGGAUCUAGUCCAGGUGGGAGACAUAGAGAUUUGCAAGAUACAUACGGAUCUGAAUGUAGCAGACCCGUUGACUAAGCCUCUUCCACGAGCAAAACAUGAUCAGCACCAAGGCUCCAUGGGUGUUAGAAUCAUUACUGUGUAAUCUAGAUUAUUGACUCUAGUGCAAGUGGGAGACUGAAGGAAAUAUGCCCUAGAGGCAAUAAUAAAGUUAUUAUUCAUUUCCUUAUAUCAUGAUAAAUGUUUAUUAUUCAUGCUAGAAUUGUAUUAACCGAAAACAUAAUACAUGUGUGAAUACAUGGACAAACAGAGUGUCACUAGUAUGCCUCUACUUGACUAGCUCGUUAAUCAAAGAUGGUUAUGUUUCCUAACCAUGGACAAAGAGUUGUUAUUUGAUUAACGGGAUCACAUCAUUAGGUGAAUGAUCUGAUUGACAUGACCCAUUCCAUUAGCUUAGCACCCAAUCGUUUAGUAUGUUGCUAUUGCUUUCUUCAUAACUUAUACAUGUUCCUAUGACUAUGAGAUUAUGCAACUCCCGUUUGCCGGAGGAACACUUUGUGUGCUACCAAACGUCACAACGUAACUGGGUGAUUAUAAAGGUGCUCUACAGGUGUCUCCAAAGGUACAUGUUGGGUUCGCGUAUUUCGAGAUUAGGAUUUGUCACUCCGAUUGUCGUAGAGGUAUCUCUGGGCCCUCUCGGUAAUGCACAUCACAUAAGCCUUGCAAGCAUUGCAACUAAUGAGUUAGUUAUGAGAUGAUGUAUUACGGAACGAGUAAAGAGACUUGUCGGUAACGAGAUUGAACUAGGUAUUGAGAUACCGACGAUCGAAUCUCGGGCAAGUAACAUACCGAUGACAAAGGAACAACGUAUGUUGUUAUGCGGUCUGACCGAUAAAGAUCUUCGUAGAAUAUGUAGGAACCAAUAUGAGCAUCCAGGUUCCGCUAUUGGUUAUUGACCGGAGACGUGUCUCGGUCAUGUCUACAUUGUUCUCGAACCGUAGGGUCCGCACGCUUAACGCUACGAUGACAGUUUCAUUAUGAGUUUAUGUAUUUUGAUGUACCGAAGGUUGUUCGGAGUCCCGGAUGUGAUCAUGGACAUGACGAGGAGUCUCGAAAUGGUCGAGACAUAAAGAUCGAUAUAUUGGAAGCCUAUAUUUGGAUAUCGGAAUCAUUCCGGGUGAAAUCGGGAUUUUACCGGAGUACUGGGGGGUUACCGGAACCCCCCCCGGGGGUUAUUGGGCCUACAUGGGCCCUAAGGGAGAAUAGGAAAGGAGGCAAGAGGUGGCCGCGCGCCCCUCCCCUCCCUAGUUCGAAUAGGACAAGGAGAGGGGGCGGCGCCCCCCCUUUCCUUUCCCUCUUCCUCCUCUUUCCCACUUCUCCUUCUCCAACUAGGAAAGAAGGGAGUCCUACUCCCGGUGGGAGUAGGACUCCCCCUUGGCGCGCCCUCCUUGGCCGGUCGCCCCCUCCCCUUGGCUCCUUUAUAUACGGGGGCAAGGGGGCACCCUAGAACACACAAGUUGAUCUUCGUGAUCGUUCCUUAGCCGUGUGCGGUGCCCCCCUCCACCAUAUUCCACCUCGGUCAUAUUGUAGCGGUGCUUAGGCGAAGCCCUGCGACGGUUGAACAUCAAGAUCGUCACCACGCCGUCGUGCUGACGGAACUCCUCCCCGAAGCUUUGCUGGAUCGGAGCCCGGGGAGCGUCAUCGAGUUGAACGUGUGCCAAGAACUCGGAGGUGCUGGAGUAACGGUGCUUGGAUCGGUUGGACCGGGAAGACGUACGACUACUUCCUCUAUGUUGCGUCAACGCUUCCGCUUCGGUCUACGAGGGUACGUAGAUAUCACUCUCCCCUCUCGUUGCUAUGCAUCACCAUGAUCUUGCGUGUACGUAGGAAAUUUUUUGAAAUUACUACAUUCCCCAACACCUACAAUGUUAAUAAAACUUUCUCAUUGUGGUGAACAAAACCAGAUGAUAAAUUUUUGGUCCAGCUUAUAUAUACCCCACAUAUCCCACUAGUUCAUCUCAAAGCAAAUUCCACUCCUACCAUUUGUUCUAAG